Molecule: ribosomal RNA, 474 nt
Filed under: Kocuria carniphila
Lineage: Bacteria; Bacillati; Actinomycetota; Actinomycetes; Micrococcales; Micrococcaceae
Description: bacterial SSU rRNA
Rfam family: Bacterial small subunit ribosomal RNA
Source: RNAcentral
GGACGAACGCUGGCGGCGUGCUUAACACAUGCAAGUCGAACGCUGAAGCUUGGGUGCUUGCAUCUGGGUGGAUGAGUGGCGAACGGGUGAGUAAUACGUGAGUAACCUGCCCUUGACUCUGGGAUAAGCCUGGGAAACUGGGUCUAAUACUGGAUACUACAUUCUCUCGCAUGGGGGUGUGUGGAAAGGGUUUUACUGGUUUUGGAUGGGCUCACGGCCUAUCAGCUUGUUGGUGGGGUAAUGGCCUACCAAGGCGACGACGGGUAGCCGGCCUGAGAGGGUGACCGGCCACACUGGGACUGAGACACGGCCCAGACUCCUACGGGAGGCAGCAGUGGGGAAUAUUGCACAAUGGGCGAAAGCCUGAUGCAGCGACGCCGCGUGAGGGAUGACGGCCUUCGGGUUGUAAACCUCUUUCAGCACGGAAGAAGCGAAAGUGACGGUACGUGCAGAAGAAGCGCCGGCUAACUACGU